RNAcentral lists this ribosomal RNA (160 nucleotides) under uncultured bacterium. Its description in RNAcentral is "partial 16S ribosomal RNA". It matches the Rfam family "Bacterial small subunit ribosomal RNA", at positions 1339 to 1500 of the family's 1533-position model. The record is from RNAcentral.
UAAUGGCAGGUCAGCAUACUGCCGUGAAUACGUUCCCGGGCCUUGUACACACCGCCCGUCACACCAUGAGAGUUGGAGAUACCCGAAGCCUGUGAGCUAACAAACGAGGCAGCAGUCGAAGGUAGAAUCAAUGAUUGGGGUGAAGUCGUAACAAGGUAAC